CCUACGGGAGGCAGCAGUGGGGAAUAUUGGGCAAUGGAGGCAAGUCUGACCCAGCAACGCCGCGUGAAGGAUGAAGGCUUUCGGGUUGUAAACUUCUUUGAAGGGGGAAGAGCAGAAGACGGUAACCCUUAAAUAAGCCCCGGCUAACUACGUUGCAGCAGCCGCGGUAAGACGGAGGGGGCAAGCGUUUUCCGGAGUUACUGGGUGUAAAGGGCGUGCAGCCGGAGAGACAAGUCAGGUGUGAAAUCCACGGGCUCAACCCUGGAACUGCAUUUGAAACUGUUUCACUUGAGUGUCGGAGAGGUAAUCGGAAUUCCUUGUGUAGCGGUGAAAUGCGUAGAUAUAAGGAAGAACACCAGUGGCGAAGGCGGAUUACUGGACGAUAACUGACGGUGAGGCGCGAAAGCGUGGGGAGCAAACAGGAUUAGAUACCCCAGUAGUC
Molecule: ribosomal RNA, 442 nt
Filed under: uncultured bacterium
Lineage: Bacteria
Description: partial 16S ribosomal RNA
Rfam family: Bacterial small subunit ribosomal RNA
Source: RNAcentral